Molecule: microRNA precursor, 117 nt
Filed under: Drosophila virilis
Lineage: Eukaryota; Metazoa; Arthropoda; Insecta; Diptera; Drosophilidae
Description: microRNA dvi-mir-9709 precursor
Source: miRBase by way of RNAcentral
GCCUAUUUUUCGAGUCAUGUGGGCUUUGCACUUCGCUUUUUAUACAACGUGUUUCUUUUUUAGUAUCGUGUGUAAAAACGAAGUGUUAAACUCAUGAGGCUAGGUUACAACGCUUGG